UGGGGGGCCAUUUAUUUUAACUUUAUUUUGUCCCAUCUUUUCUUCCUGGUCUUUUACACUCGUAUAAAACGUACGAAGUUCCUUUUUACUCUUCCCUGAAACACAAAAUUGCCCCCUUUCCUUCUCACCUUAGACAAAGAAUGUCUAUGAACAAUGACUAUUCUUUGCCUUAGCUUGAUUUUCCACCCAUCGGUUACAGAAAGACUUAGCGGAUGCAAAACCAGGGCCGACUAAUACUAUUUUUCACUUGGAUUCAAAUUACUAUAUUUUUGGAAUCCUAAUCGAGGCUCCUCUAUUUUUAAAUCAGCAGGAAUCUUGUUCCCACAUUUCUCUCAGAAGUAGUCCUGAAAUAGGUACUCCAUCACUCCGCCACUGCCGGAACCACUCUUACAAGACAGCAUCGAGUAACUACCAAGAAACAGUAUGAAACCAAAAUCAAAGCUUCAUACAAGUAUAAAAAAUUUGGUUCUUGCUAAAGCAGCCCAAGCAUGUACUAGGAAUAAUAAUACAGUGCAAGAUCUGAAUCUUGGAGAAGACAAUAACAUAAAUGAAACAGUUCUUCGGAAAGCAACAGAGGCUGAUAAAGAAAGAAAGCGUGAAAAAGCUCGGUUAAAGAGACAACGUAAAAAAGAAGCAAGAGCUAAGAGUAUAAAAAAGGAUGUGUCUGAGGCCAAAAAAUUAGCUUUGAAUUAUCUUCACGAAUGGAACACUUCACGGAAUACAUGGAGCUUCAAAAAGAAGCAGCAGUUCUGGUUACUUAGCAAUAUAUUUAAUAUUAACACUAUUUCAGAGAAUGAUUUUGAAAUAUUGUUACUGUAUAUAACUGAUCUCAAGGGAGGAGCAAAAUCUAGAUUAAAUGACAUUGCUGAAAAUAUUCUGAAAGACUAUGAAGAAAAGUCAAAAAAUUCCAUGGAGUACUUGGCCUUUGUUCUCCACUUAGCCCUUUUACAUUAGAUGCAGAUAAAAACUGGCAAGAUGACCUUUUCUUAUGAAAGUCACCAUCACAGGUAGGACUGUCAAAAAGGUGAAGCUGAUUUUACAGUUUUUGAAAGAGCUAGAAGAGUUCUUCAAGUGUUAAUUUAGCAGUUAUUUAAAUAUGUAGAUAACACCUCAUUGUAAAUAUUUAAAUUUUUAAAA
Molecule: unclassified non-coding RNA, 1137 nt
Organism: Stegodyphus dumicola
Lineage: Eukaryota; Metazoa; Arthropoda; Arachnida; Araneae; Eresidae
Source: RefSeq, a predicted model, not a curated record